Molecule: ribosomal RNA, 445 nt
Filed under: uncultured bacterium
Lineage: Bacteria
Description: partial 16S ribosomal RNA
Rfam family: Bacterial small subunit ribosomal RNA
Source: RNAcentral
GUGAGGAAUAUUGGUCAAUGGUCGGAAGACUGAACCAGCCAUGCCGCGUGCAGGAAGACGGUCCUAUGGAUUGUAAACUGCUUUUAUUCGGGGAUAAACCUCCUUACGUGUAGGGAGCUGAAGGUACCGAAAGAAUAAGCACCGGCUAACUCCGUGCCAGCAGCCGCGGUAAUACGGAGGGUGCAAGCGUUAUCCGGAAUCAUUGGGUUUAAAGGGUCCGCAGGCGGGAUUGUAAGUCAGUGGUGAAAUCCGGCAGCUCAACUGUCGCACUGCCAUUGAUACUGCAGUCCUUGAAUUCGAUUGGAGUGGGCGGAAUAUGUCAUGUAGCGGUGAAAUGCUUAGAUAUGAUGUAGAACACCGAUUGCGAAGGCAGCUCACUAAGCAAAUAUUGACGCUGAGGCACGAAAGCGUGGGGAUCAAACAGGAUUAGAAACCCUAGUAGUCC